Molecule: long non-coding RNA, 2789 nt
Organism: Solanum dulcamara
Lineage: Eukaryota; Viridiplantae; Streptophyta; Magnoliopsida; Solanales; Solanaceae
Exons: 2
Source: RefSeq, a predicted model, not a curated record
UUUUGGUUUUCUCUCUAGUCUUGAGAAUGCAUACUCUAACUUACAAGUCUAUCUCUUACUUUGUUUGAGAAUAUUAGUUUGACCAAUUGGAAAAAAAGAAUAUUAGUUUGACAGUUUUUACUCUUUUGUAUUUGUUGAACCAUUAUCUUUGAAUCUUUUUGACAUGUCAUUUCUAUUUAGACAUUAUCAAACCUAGGUAAUAUUUUGUGCUUACAGAGCGGCUAUUUUUGGAACUUUGUAACUUAUAGCAUACUAGGCCUCUUGAUCAUAAUUCAUAUUUUGCUGGGCUAUGAAACUGUUUUUAUAAUUAAAAUGUGCAAGGAUAUGCAAAGGGAAGUAAAUAUAAAUAUGCCUCUGAUUGUACAUGUUCAUUUUUCUCUUCUCUUUUAAAUGGUGAGAGUUUGCUAAAACGUAUAUACUGGAGCACCUAAUUCAUUCUUAUGUAGUUCAACUAGGAGAAAGUAAUGCAAUACAAGAAGAAAAUCGAUUGAUUAUGGAUUAGGUUCAUGCAACUCUCAGCAAUAGCUUGCACGUGAAACCCUUAUGAAAGGGAGAAAUGGCCAUGAUUGUAUGAAUGAAGAGUUCUCUUACUACUUUAACAGAAGAUAUUGCAAAAAGGUAUAGUGGAUAGAGAAAAGUCUCAUUCUCAUGUGAAUGUGUGUGAAAUAACAUCUCAAAUGAAAAACUAGCUCAUUAUGAUAAUGUGCCAAUGUGAUCCUAUCUUUACCUAUGAACGGUUUGGUCCUCUAUUACAGUAGACCUGCAGAAUAAAGGCAUUUGUCAAUUAAGAGUGGUGGAAAAUAAUCACUUGCCGAAUUAUUGAACAUCUUUGUUUAAUACCAACAAGUGCCUGUGUUUUCAUCGUUACAUUAGGGUUUUGAGGUUUUUCUUUUGGAGGUAGGAGGGGGGAGCAGACACAUAUAAGUGAUGAGAAAGCAGUCAAAGGCAAAUGAGUGGAAAACAAAAACUAUAGGAUUAUAUUAGCAACUAACCUAGUGAAAUUUUGAGGAUAAACUUUACAACAACAACAACAAUCCAGUGAAAUCCCACAACGUGGGGUCUAGGGAGGGUAAAGUGUACGCAGACGUUACUCUUACCAAGGUAGGACGGUUGUUUCCGAAAGACCCCCGGCUCAAUAAAAGCAUAAAAAGAGGUUAGAUAAGGCUAAGAAGUUUAAAGCGAUAUGGGAAAGCAAAAACUUUGUGAUUACAUAUUUGGUAAAUCAGUCUUAUGCCUUGGGCACUGAUUUUCAGCCUUCAUGUGUUCUCUCUACUUCCGUUUGCACAUGCAAUAUUUGUACAGAAGAAAGUAGAUCCCAAAAGCAUUGAACCAACCAUUUCUAUUCCCCCAUUUCCGAAGUCUAUUUUAGUUGGCAUGUAACCAUUUGGUUCAAAAUUAGUGGUGGAAGUUACAGAAUUUGAGAGGUGUAAGAGGCUGGCUAUAGUGGAUGUUAGGAGUGCUAGAGGCGGGCCGAAGAAGUACUGGAGUAGGUGAUUUCGCUGGACAUGGCACACUUUCGGCUUAUUGAGGACAUAAUCCUAGAUAGAAAAGUUAGGUUGUCGAGAAUUAAGGUAAAAGGUUAGUAGGUAGCCGUGCGUUGUAGCACCUUUAGGUGGGUGAGGCAGGGUCUAGUCCCCGUUUCUCCUACUAGUAGUAUUCUUAUCUUCUGCUUCAUCCAUUUGUUACAUGUUGCCGUUAUUGGUAGACAAGAGAAGGGAAGCGAGACUGAGAUGGUUUGGACAUGUGAAGAGGACAUGUGCAAAUGCCCCAAUAAAGAGAUGUGAGAAGUUGGAUAUAGUAGGUAUGAGGAGAGAUAGAGGUAGGCGAAAAAAUUAUUGGGGAAAGGAGAUUAGACAUGUCAUGAUCUUAGAUAAGGGAAGGUAUAAAGGCCGCAGAUUAGGGUAGAAGGGUAGCAGGCAGUUCAGCUUUGACUCACUUUUCGGCGGGUUUAGGCUUGGUGGGAGCCUGGGAGCACUGUGUUUGUUUACUAGUCAUAUACAUGUAUUUCCUUUUCAAUUACCGCAUUAUUUAGUUACUGUUUCUUUCUCGGAAUGCUUUGUAUUGCUUUUCUUAUUAAGUGACAUGUUUUCUUCACUAUCGAUUUCUUUUUGUAAAUACUUUAAUUUGUUGCACUUGAGUUGAGGGUAUUUUGGAAACAAUCUCUCUACCUCUACGAGGCAGGGAUAAAGUCUGCGUACAGUGUACUCUCUCUAGACCCCACUUGUGGUAUUACGUUGGGUAUGUUGUUGUUAUCUAGCAUGUCUUGGUUUCUCGUUUUAGUUGUUAUGUAUCUUGCUAGUGCACUUGUCAUAUUUUCCUUGCAAACAGUUUCGUUUUUCUUUCUUUUGAGUCUGACAGUCUAUCGAAAACCUCCUCUCUACCCCACAAAGUUAGGGCUAAGGUCUGUGUAUAUACUAUCCUUCCCAGACUCCACUUGUGGGAUUAUAUUGGUAUGUUGUUGUUGAAGUUGCAGCAUCCUUCGUGGUACACUCGUGACAAGUUAAAGAUCCAUGGUAGUGAGCAAGAAGAUGAGAUUCACAAUUGACUAGUCAACACCACAUUGUCUGGCAGUUUAAAAUCACAAUUACUGGUUAUCUCUACUACUAUUUUAGAAGCCCUAGUAGAAAGGGAUGAGCUUGAUGGAAGUACCAGGGUGGUGAUGUGCCAUAUUGUUUCACUUCGCUAAUUGUAUUUGCGCUAUUGGGCUUGGUUAUGCAAUAGUUACCUAGUCUUGAUCUUCAACUUCAGGCUAUGUAUUGACUGCUGUCAUAUUUUUACUUCAACUUUCA